Long non-coding RNA from Pezoporus flaviventris, 342 nucleotides. RefSeq lists it as uncharacterized. NCBI's taxonomy places the organism in Eukaryota, Metazoa, Chordata, Aves, Psittaciformes, Psittacidae. The record is from RefSeq and is a predicted model, not a curated record. The transcript is spliced from 2 exons.
UUUAACCUGUCUACUUCUCAAGAACUGAUAACCUGCGGGAGGGGUAUAUUUGUGUCCUCCUGCCUACAGGUCCAUGGCGACUGCCUGCAAAGUUUGUCAAGCCUUGCCAUGAGCUGGACAGGCGAGAGGAGGAGCCUGAUGCCUCAGCUACAGGAUCUGACCGUGAAUACCCCAAGCAGAAUGAGAUAGAGGAAGAAAAAAAUGAAUGAUUGCAAAACAUCACUUGGGGGCAACUGAAAAGUAACAGCUUGAAUAUAUGUGUGCUUGUAAAGCAGCUAUUAUUAGAGGCUGUGAUUUUGUGUAUAAAACAACCUGUAUUUACUAGCCAGUUGCUAAUAAGAA